RNAcentral lists this long non-coding RNA (494 nucleotides) under Mytilus galloprovincialis (Mediterranean mussel). The record is from RNAcentral. Lineage: Eukaryota; Metazoa; Mollusca; Bivalvia; Mytilida; Mytilidae.
AAGAGCUUUGAGUUUGCUUUCAGUAACUACGAGCAUUGAAUUUCUUUAAUAAGGUAUAAUUAGUUACUCAUUUUGUGUUUUUGUUACCUGUUAUACAGUUAGAUAAGGGACGAGCGGGUUUUUAUUGUUACAACAGUAUGUAUCGUAUGUGAUAUCUUAAAUGUUUUCGUUAUUUAAUGAAUUGUGUUUUAAUGGCAGAUUUUUAUUGUUUGAUGAAUUGACAACUUUUAAGCCUGAUAUCUGUGUUAAUUUUUAUUGACUUGAGAUGAUUACAGCUUUACAUAUUGUAUAGACACUGAUCUUUUGCAGACGAUUGCAUGUUGUCCUACAUGAGGGUCUGGCAGGGGUUUACAGAAUAGAGAAUAAUGGACAAAAAGUGCAGAAAAAAGGGGAAAAAAAGAAUAGACAAAAAAUAAAGAAUAUAGAAUAACGGGGUGCUAAAAUAUUAAGAAUAGAGGAUAACGGACAAAAUAAAUAAGAAUAGAGAAAAAUGG